AUGAUUACAUGGGCUGAAAAAAGAACUUGAAAAUCAAAUAAGGUACUUAUGUAUUAUUCGGAUGAGGUUUGUUAUUUUAAAUAGUAACGUAUAAAUAAGUCUGAUGCAGGUGUGUGGACACUGUUAAUGAAAUAGAAAGGCAGUCCUGCACACUGUCACAGCCUGGAAAUCGUCACCAGACAUUGGAUAUUUUAAUAGCAUCAUACAAUAAACCAGUAUUUCAGGAUAAACUGAGAGAUCUGUGAUCAGUCAUGCACAUAAAGAUGUUUUUGUUUUAUCAGUUACUGACAUCUGUGUGUGUCGGUAGAGGGAUGGACUCUGGAAACAGUCUUGAACACAAAAAUGAAAAGGUACAAGUCAGAAGAUCACUUGCAGAGGUCUGACACACACUGAAUCUGUAGGAUGGCUCCUGCUGCUUUACUCAUCGGCUGUCUGCUUGCCACAAUCAGCUGCUUAACCACAGGUCAAACUACCACAUCAAUUAAUGCUGUUCCUGCAUCACCUAAUGCAACUGACAUGUCGGACAAUGCAACUAAUGUAUUGCCUGACGCAACUAGUGCAACUACCAUUUUGCCCAACGGGGGUAACACAUCACCUAGCACCACCAUGGCACCCAACUCAACCAACACGGUGCCCAGUGUAACCAACACGCCGCCCAACAUGCCGCCAAAUGCAACCAACAUGGCAACCAACACAGACACCAUGGCGCCAACGCAACAACGCAACAAUGCAACCAACACACCACCAAAUGCAACCAACACACCACCAAAUGCAACCAACACGCCGCCCAACGCAACCAACACACCACCAAAUGCAACCAACACACCACCAAAUGCAACCAACACGCCACCAAAUGCAACCAACACGCCGCCCAACGCAACCAACACGGCGCCAAAUGCAACUAGCGCAUUACCUAAUGCGACUACAACAAAUGCAACAACUCCUCAGGCUUCAUUGUAUGGAAGUUGUGCGAGUCCAGAUCUGUGCUGCUCUGGAGUGAAUAGCAGCUGUCGUCGCAAAAAUUGUUAUUGUGAUGUUGCUUGUCUGAGAUUACGUGACUGCUGCCCUGAUUUUAAACCCACCUGCCUCACAGUGAAAAACAGCACAAACAGCAGCAACACUUUGCCACUAACAGGAACAUGUUCAGAUCCGACUAUGUGCUGCAGUGGCACAAACUACAACUGUUUCAGAGGAUGUUUCUGUGAUGAGUCCUGCAAAAUGCUCAACGACUGCUGUCCCGACCUCAACAGAACCUGCAAUUUCAUCCCUACUACACCUCCACCCUUCAACUCCUCUACAACUCCACCCAUCAACUCCACUACACCUCCACCCUUCACCUCCACUAAAGCUCCACCCUUCAACUCCACUACAGCUCCGACCUUCAACUCCACUACAGCUCCACCCUUCACCUCCACUAAAGCUCCACCCAAAGAUGUUCUGACGAUCCUCACUAAUCUGGAGGUGGAGGUUUUGGCCGAGGAGUCGUCCACUGAAGAAGAGCGUCGAGCUGCACUGCUUCAGGUUGCUGCUUUUGUGGAGAGUUUGCUAAGAGCGAAUGAUACCGACAUCUACUCUUUUGAUGUCACGAGGAUUAAGCCUUUAUCUCCAUGUGACUGA
This is a long non-coding RNA of Carassius auratus (goldfish), 1617 nucleotides long. The record is from Ensembl. NCBI's taxonomy places the organism in Eukaryota, Metazoa, Chordata, Actinopteri, Cypriniformes, Cyprinidae.